This 424-nucleotide ribosomal RNA is filed under the name uncultured bacterium. Its description in RNAcentral is "bacterial SSU rRNA". It matches the Rfam family "Bacterial small subunit ribosomal RNA", at positions 28 to 447 of the family's 1533-position model. The record is from RNAcentral.
GACGAACGCUGGCGGCGCGCCUAACACAUGCAAGUCGAACGAGAGAGAAGGAGCUUGCUUCUUCGAUCGAGUGGCGAACGGGUGAGUAACGCGUGAGGAACCUGCCUCAAAGAGGGGGACAACAGUUGGAAACGACUGCUAAUACCGCAUAAGCCCACGGGUCGGCAUCGACCAGAGGGAAAAGGAGCAAUCCGCUUUGAGAUGGCCUCGCGUCCGAUUAGCUAGUUGGUGAGGUAAUGGCCCACCAAGGCGACGAUCGGUAGCCGGACUGAGAGGUUGAACGGCCACAUUGGGACUGAGACACGGCCCAGACUCCUACGGGAGGCAGCAGUGGGGAAUAUUGCACAAUGGGGGAAACCCUGAUGCAGCGACGCCGCGUGGAGGAAGAAGGUCUUCGGAUUGUAAACUCCUGUUGUUGAGGAAG